GACGAACGCUGGCGGCGUGCUUAACACAUGCAAGUCGAACGGAAAGGCCCUGCUUGCAGGGUACUCGAGUGGCGAACGGGUGAGUAACACGUGGGUGAUCUGCACUGCACUUCGGGAUAAGCUUGGGUAACUGGGUCUAAUACCGGAUAGGAGCCUUCCUUAGUGUGGUGGUUGGAAAGUUUUUUCGGUGUAGGAUGAGCUCGCGGCCUAUCAGAGUGUUGGUGGGGUAAUGGCCUACCAAGGCGGCGACGGGUAGCCGGCCGGAGAGGGUGUACGGCCACAAUGGGACUGAGAAACGACCCAGACUCCUGCGGGAGGCAGCAGUGGGGAAUAUUGCACAAUGGGCGCAAGCCUGAUGCAGCGACGCCGCGUGGGGGGUGAAUGCCUUCGGGUUGUAAACUCCUUUCGCUAUGGACGAAGCUUGUUUGUGACGGUACCUAGAUAAGAAGCACCGGCUAACUACGUG
RNAcentral lists this ribosomal RNA (466 nucleotides) under uncultured bacterium. Its description in RNAcentral is "partial 16S ribosomal RNA". It matches the Rfam family "Bacterial small subunit ribosomal RNA", at positions 28 to 507 of the family's 1533-position model. The record is from RNAcentral.